RNAcentral lists this transfer RNA (65 nucleotides) under Trachylepis maculilabris. Its description in RNAcentral is "tRNA-Cys". Lineage: Eukaryota; Metazoa; Chordata; Lepidosauria; Squamata; Scincidae. The record is from RNAcentral.
GCCCCGUAGUAUAUAUUACGCUAGAGUGCAAAUCUAGAGACGAACCCUAAAGGUGUUCCAGGGCU